CGACUUCCCUUUUCUCACCUCUGCUUGAAAUAUGUGCACCUUUUCAUAAUGGUAAGACAAAUAAAAUAAAUUCAGUUUGAAGUUUUAACAAGGAAAAAGAAAUCUGAAAUGUAAAGGCCAAUAAUAAUCUGCAUCUGCCCCAACAUGGUGUUUGGAAUUUUUCAACCAUGAUAAAGAAUGAUCUAAGCAAGGGUGUUUUUACACCAUUCUUCUAAUGUUCUUUAUUUCUUACUGGUGUCAAGACCUC
Molecule: long non-coding RNA, 247 nt
Organism: Homo sapiens (human)
Lineage: Eukaryota; Metazoa; Chordata; Mammalia; Primates; Hominidae
Exons: 3
Source: RefSeq, a predicted model, not a curated record